GAUGAACGCUGGCGGCGUGCCUAAUACAUGCAAGUCGAGCGAACAGACGAGGCGCUUGCUCCUCCCACCCUCGCGCCGCCCCCCCCCCUCCCCCCCGCCCACCCUCCCUAUCCGACCCCCCUCACUUCCGGACCCCCCAGCUCAUACCGGCUCAUCUCUCGCACCGCAUGGUUCACUAGCGCAACACGCUUUUGCUGUCCCUUCUCGCUGCAUCCGCGCCGCAUUAGCUAGUUGGUAAGGUAACGGCUUACCAAGGCGACGAUGCGUAGCCGACCUGAGAGGGUGAUCGGCCACACUGGAACUGAGACACGGUCCAGACUCCUACGGGAGGCAGCAGUAGGGAAUCUUCCGCAAUGGGCGAAAGCCUGACGGAGCAACGCCGCGUGAGUGAUGAAGGUCUUCGGAUCGUAAAACUCUGUUAUUAGGGAAGAACAAAUGUGUAAGUAACUAUGCACGUCUUGACGGUACCUAAUCAGAAAGCCACGGCUAACUACGUG
Molecule: ribosomal RNA, 497 nt
Filed under: uncultured bacterium
Lineage: Bacteria
Description: partial 16S ribosomal RNA
Rfam family: Bacterial small subunit ribosomal RNA
Source: RNAcentral